Molecule: long non-coding RNA, 643 nt
Organism: Oncorhynchus keta (chum salmon)
Lineage: Eukaryota; Metazoa; Chordata; Actinopteri; Salmoniformes; Salmonidae
Exons: 2
Source: RefSeq, a predicted model, not a curated record
UGGAUGGGCCUGGGAGGGCAUAGGCACACCCACUGGGGACCCAGGCCCAGCCAAUCAGAAUGAGUUUUUCCUCACAAAUGGUAUUUAUUCUAGACAGAAAUACUCUCUUUAGGUUCAGUGACACUUAUGUUGAUACACCUGAAAUCGGAGAGUUAAAAUAGUUUUUCUUACCCUCGUAUUCUACAAAUAUUUCCCCCCAUCUCCCAGGCUACAUUUCACCUGACUAAGGCUGUUGGAAAGGCUCUGGUUGCCAGUGGAGCUCCGAAACGCUCCAUCAUUGCUGUGGGCAGCAUUGUGGGUAAGUCUGUAAGACCUAACCCUUCUCCCUCUCUGUGUAGAGAGGAAGCUGAUGGAUCCUAACACAUUCCCAGUAGAGGACUCUGGCUACAUCACUGGAACCAGUGUUGAAGUAGCAGAGGCCUUUUCAUUGGCUGAGACAACAUUCCAUCAUCCUCAUGAAGAUCCCAUCUAGGGUCCAGUAAUUGUAUAUGUCUUCAACGUUCACACUGUGCCUUCGCGUGUGAUAAUACAACCGAUUGGGGAUCAAUCUUGUUUUGUAAAUCUAGUCAAUAUCUUAGUGUAAAUGUGCAAUAAAUUGAAACCUGUUGUGGCGAGAGUUGAGUGCUCUCCCAAUUUAACCGAG